AAAUUAUUUUCCUUUUCUUUCCCCCAAACUCCGAUCCUGACCUUUCUCCCCUCUCUGCGCUGAACUCCCCUUCUCCCCCUCCCGUGACGCCGAAGCCACCAACGUCGUCUCCUCCUCUCCUCCACGCUGCCGCCGACCCCCCUUCUCAUCUUCUCUCCCGGUUUCUCCUCUUCCCCGAGCCGCUGCUUCUUCUACUCUGCCCUAGAUCGCCGACCACCGUCCUUUGCAUCCCACGACAUCGACUAGUAGAUCUCUCCCUUUUGCUUCAUUGCAACACCGAGAGCGCGAGCCGACGACAAGGUUGUUGAUCUCCUCCCGUGCCUUGUUUCCUCAUCAGAACAGACACGUCGCUUGAUUGUCGUUGCAUCGCCAACCUCCCAUCGUUUCUCUUUGCCGUGAACAACCCACACCGAUGCCCUAACUCCUCUAUUCGCUAUUCCCGUGAGCAACCAGAUGUAAGUAAGGUGAUUUCCAGUAACUUCUUCAUCUGACAGCAACAUAUUUGGAUGAGGAUCAAGAGCAGUGACUUGGAGUUGAGGGCUCUGAUUCGAGUCGAGCGUCUCGAUGACGGAUUGGUUUGAUUCGAUCUUCUAUUUGAGGCGGGU
This is a long non-coding RNA of Zingiber officinale, 605 nucleotides long. RefSeq lists it as uncharacterized. The record is from RefSeq and is a predicted model, not a curated record. Lineage: Eukaryota; Viridiplantae; Streptophyta; Magnoliopsida; Zingiberales; Zingiberaceae. The transcript has 4 exons.